UGAGCAUGGUACUUGAAGCAUAAUUGUGCUGC
Molecule: non-coding RNA, 32 nt
Filed under: Homo sapiens (human)
Lineage: Eukaryota; Metazoa; Chordata; Mammalia; Primates; Hominidae
Source: RNAcentral